This 253-nucleotide ribosomal RNA is filed under the name uncultured bacterium. RNAcentral describes it as "partial 16S ribosomal RNA". It matches the Rfam family "Bacterial small subunit ribosomal RNA", at positions 524 to 776 of the family's 1533-position model. The record is from RNAcentral.
UACGAAGGGGGCUAGCGUUGUUCGGAAUUACUGGGCGUAAAGCGCACGUAGGCGGAUCGUUAAGUUAGAGGUGAAAUCCCAGGGCUCAACUCUGGAACUGCCUUUAAUACUGGCGAUCUUGAGUCCGAGAGAGGUGAGUGGAACUCCUAGUGUAGAGGUGGAAUUCGUAGAUAUUAGGAAGAACACCAGUGGCGAAGGCGGCUCACUGGCUCGGUACUGACGCUGAGGUGCGAAAGCGUGGGGAGCAAACAGG